Molecule: ribosomal RNA, 338 nt
Filed under: uncultured bacterium
Lineage: Bacteria
Description: bacterial SSU rRNA
Rfam family: Bacterial small subunit ribosomal RNA
Source: RNAcentral
ACACGUGAUUCAGAGUUUGAUCCUGGCUCAGGAUUAACGCUGGCGGCGUGCAUAACACAUUCAAGUCGAACGGAGUAAGGGGCUUCGGUCCUUUACUUAGUGGCGGACGGGUGAGUAACGCGUGAGCAAUCUACCUUCGGGUGAGGGAUAACAACCGGAAACAGUUGCUAAUACCUCAUGACAUAUAGACUUCGCAUGGAGAUUAUAUCAAAGGCUUGCUGCCCGAAGACGAGCUUGCGUCUGAUUAGGUAGUUGGUGAGGUAACGGCCCACCAAGCCGACGAUCGGUAGCCGGACUGAGAGGUUGAACGGCCACAUUGGAACUGAGAUACGGUCCAG